This 247-nucleotide long non-coding RNA is filed under the name Glycine max (soybean). RNAcentral describes it as "long non-coding RNA (GMAX_LNC003804)". The record is from RNAcentral. Lineage: Eukaryota; Viridiplantae; Streptophyta; Magnoliopsida; Fabales; Fabaceae.
AUUUUAUUUAUACUGUGUUCUAGCAGAACCCAUUCUCCGCCAAACAGAUUCUCCAGGCGUGGGGUUGCAAUACUUAGAGUACGCAAAUGGAAAAGUGAAUGAGGAUUCCCCCAAUCCUAUUAUGAUAAUUGAUGAAAUGAAUACCCUAGGCCCCCACCCUUUCCCCAAACACCCUGUCCCCAAAAUACACCUUUAAGCUUAGGACUCUUCCUUACUGGGUCCCACAUUAGCUAUUCACCGUGAUGAC